Long non-coding RNA from Xenia sp. Carnegie-2017, 303 nucleotides. RefSeq lists it as uncharacterized. The record is from RefSeq and is a predicted model, not a curated record. Lineage: Eukaryota; Metazoa; Cnidaria; Anthozoa; Malacalcyonacea; Xeniidae. The transcript is spliced from 3 exons.
AAAGAUUACAUUCGGCUUUUCAUAACGUCGAGUUUACCUAUGUACAAAUAUUAUGUUGCGUAUGUACAAAGGCAAGUGUCUUCGGGUAAUUUUAAUUUCCCAAAGGAAAUAACUUACGCCAAGUUUCGUCUCGCUAUCAUUGCCAUGAUACGGUUGCUUGAUAUUGAUUUUGACAAUGGGUUUUUGUGAAUUAUGUGGAAGAAUUCCCCAAAGGUGGUGAUGGAUGGAACAACUCUUGGAAUACAGAAAACUUUCUUACCAAAUAAUUUAAGAGAGUCUGAUACUGGAUUGCUAGAUGGAAGA